AGUGAACGCCGGCGGUAGGCCUAACACAUGCAAGUCGAACGGCAGCACAGUAAGAGCUUGCUCUUACGGGUGGCGAGUGGCGGACGGGUGAGGAAUACAUCGGAAUCUACUUUUUCGUGGGGGAUAACGUAGGGAAACUUACGCUAAUACCGCAUACGACCUACGGGUGAAAGCAGGGGAUCUUCGGACCUUGCGCGAUUGAAUGAGCCGAUGUCGGAUUAGCUAGUUGGCGGGGUAAAGGCCCACCAAGGCGACGAUCCGUAGCUGGUCUGAGAGGACGAUCAGCCACACUGGAACUGAGACACGGUCCAGACUCCUACGGGAGGCAGCAGUGGGGAAUAUUGGACAAUGGGCGCAAGCCUGAUCCAGCCAUACCGCGUGGGUGAAGAAGGCCUUCGGGUUGUAAAGCCCUUUUGUUGGGAAAGAAAAGCAGCAGGUUAAUACCCCGCUGUUCUGACGGUACCCAAAGAAUAAGCACCGGCUAACUUCGUG
RNAcentral lists this ribosomal RNA (492 nucleotides) under uncultured bacterium. RNAcentral describes it as "partial 16S ribosomal RNA". It matches the Rfam family "Bacterial small subunit ribosomal RNA", at positions 29 to 507 of the family's 1533-position model. The record is from RNAcentral.